AACGAACGCCGGCGGCAUGCCUAACACAUGCAAGUCGAACGAGACCUUCGGGUCUAGUGGCGCACGGGUGCGUAACGCGUGGGAACCUGCCCUUAGGUUCGGAAUAACUCCCCGAAAGGGGUGCUAAUACCGGAUAAUGUCUUCGGACCAAAGAUUUAUCGCCUUUGGAUGGGCCCGCGUUGGAUUAGCUAGUUGGUAGGGUAAAAGCCUACCAAGGCGACGAUCCAUAGCUGGUCUGAGAGGAUGAUCAGCCACACUGGGACUGAGACACGGCCCAGACUCCUACGGGAGGCAGCAGUGGGGAAUAUUGGACAAUGGGCGAAAGCCUGAUCCAGCAAUGCCGCGCGAGUGAUGAAGGCCUUAGGGUUGUAAAGCUCUUUUACCCGGGAUGAUAAUGACAGUACCGGGAGAAUAAGCUCCGGCUAACUCCGUG
This 433-nucleotide ribosomal RNA is filed under the name uncultured bacterium. Its description in RNAcentral is "partial 16S ribosomal RNA". It matches the Rfam family "Bacterial small subunit ribosomal RNA", at positions 29 to 507 of the family's 1533-position model. The record is from RNAcentral.